AACGAACGCUGGCGGCAGGCCUAACACAUGCAAGUCGAGCGAGGACUUCGGUUCUAGCGGCGGACGGGUGAGUAACGCGUGGGAAUGUGCCCUUCUCUACGGAAUAGCCCUGGGAAACUGGGAGUAAUACCGUAUACGCCCUAUUGGGGAAAGAUUUAUCGGAGAAGGAUCAGCCCGCGUUGGAUUAGGUAGUUGGUGGGGUAAUGGCCUACCAAGCCGACGAUCCAUAGCUGGUUUGAGAGGAUGAUCAGCCACACUGGGACUGAGACACGGCCCAGACUCCUACGGGAGGCAGCAGAGGGGAAUCUUAGACAAUGGGGGCAACCCUGAUCUAGCCAUGCCGCGUGAGUGAUGAAGGCCUUAGGGUUGUAAAGCUCUUUCAGCUGGGAAGAUAAUGACGGUACCAGCAGAAGAAGCCCCGGCUAACUCCGUG
Molecule: ribosomal RNA, 433 nt
Filed under: uncultured bacterium
Lineage: Bacteria
Description: partial 16S ribosomal RNA
Rfam family: Bacterial small subunit ribosomal RNA
Source: RNAcentral